GGAUUGAACGCUGGCGGAAUGCUUUACACAUGCAAGUCGAACGGCAGCACGGGGGCAACCCUGGUGGCGAGUGGCGAACGGGGUGAGUAAUACAUCGGAACGUGCCCAGUCGUGGGGGAUAACGUAGCGAAAGCUACGCUAAUACCGCAUACGAACUCUGGUUGAAAGCGGGGGACUCGCAAGAGCCUCGCGCGAUUGGAGCGGCCGAUGGCAGA
Molecule: ribosomal RNA, 215 nt
Filed under: uncultured soil bacterium
Lineage: Bacteria
Description: partial 16S ribosomal RNA
Rfam family: Bacterial small subunit ribosomal RNA
Source: RNAcentral